ACCCUGAAUCGUGUAGGGGACGGAGCUCGCCUCCCUCCCCGCCCCCAAAGCCUCGGCGACGUGCGGACACUUGGCCUUGCAGCGAUGUGCUGGAGGGCCAAGCUAAAGGGUCCAGCGCCGUCGCGGUCGAGGGUCACAUCGAAUGCCGCGAUCGAAAGCGUGGAUUCCCCGCGGUGCGAAGAGACUCGGACGCAAAAUCUGGAUCACAACUGGUGCCUUUCGAAACGACGUCUACGUCGGAGCGAGCGGUCCCUGCUCGGUUGUAGUUCGGAGGAGGUCCGGGCCCCAUCCCCCGUGGAGAUUUCAUGGCUCGGUCGUGUGCGCGGCGCUGUGCCAGGGAUCCGUCGAUUCGUCGGCGGCAAGUCGGGACUGCCGCAACCCCCCGUUGCAUUUGCUCAGGUGUUAACUCGCCCCUGGGAGCGUUCCGUGUUCAGGAUGGGUGCACUCGCAUGAUCUGCGUGGCAGGGGCCCCCGUCCGACGACAAGACUCUCCCUUGCGGCGACUCCCACCUUUGCGAGGUGAUGGGGCGGGNCGAAAAUCCAAAUGAAUGAAGUGCGAUCCAGCGCCUUGUGCGCUUGGGUCGGACGAAAGAGAAAAAAACACAAGGAAAUCACGACUCUCGGCAACGGAUAUCUCGGCUCUCGCCACGAUGAAGAAUGUAGCGAAAUGCGAUACUUAGUGUGAAUUGCAGAAUCCCGUGAAUCAUCAAGUCUUUGAACGCAAGUUGCGCCCGAGGCCUCGGCCAAGGGCACGUCUGCUUGGGCGUCGCACUCCAAAAUUGCCCUCCACCGCGAGGAGCGUAGAUGGCCGUCCGUGUCCGCAAGUGGGGCGGUCGGCUGAAAUGAGCACGAGGUCCGUCGAUCCGUCGCGACGAGCGGUGGUUCCCAAAGGCCGGCGUUGGUUUGCGCUGAUCGAGCGAUGCCUCGUGUGGAACUUUAUCUUUGGUGCCCCGGCCCGCCAGAGUGCGGGCCACGGUGCAUCUCUACCCGCGUCCCUCAA
This 1000-nucleotide ribosomal RNA is filed under the name Juniperus osteosperma. RNAcentral's name for it is "eukaryotic LSU rRNA". The stretch from base 616 to 769 matches the Rfam family "5.8S ribosomal RNA". Lineage: Eukaryota; Viridiplantae; Streptophyta; Pinopsida; Cupressales; Cupressaceae. The record is from RNAcentral.